UACGAAGGGGGCAAGCGUUGCCCGGAAUCACUGGGCGUAAAGAGCGUGUAGGCGGCUCGGUAAGUCCGGUCUGAAAGCCCGGGGCUCAACCCCGGGAGGCGGGCGGAUACUGUCGGGCUAGAGUCCGGAAGAGGCGAGUGGAAUUCCUGGUGUAGCGGUGAAAUGCGCAGAUAUCAGGAGGAACACCAAUGGCGAAGGCAGCUCGCUGGGACGGUACUGACGCUGAGACGCGAAAGCGUGGGGAGCAAACAGG
Molecule: ribosomal RNA, 253 nt
Filed under: uncultured bacterium
Lineage: Bacteria
Description: partial 16S ribosomal RNA
Rfam family: Bacterial small subunit ribosomal RNA
Source: RNAcentral